CAGCAGCCGCGGUAAUACGUAGGGUCCGAGCGUUGUCCGGAAUUAUUGGGCGUAAAGGGCUCGUAGGCGGUUUGUCGCGUCGGGAGUGAAAACCAGCAGCUUAACUGCUGGCCUGCUUUCGAUACGGGCAGACUUGAGGCAUUCAGGGGAGAACGGAAUUCCUGGUGUAGCGGUGAAAUGCGCAGAUAUCAGGAGGAACACCGGUGGCGAAGGCGGUCAUCUGGGCUACAACUGACGCUGAUGCACGAAAGCGUGGGGAGCAAACAGGAUUAGAUACCCCAGUAGUCCCUGUCUCUUAUAC
RNAcentral lists this ribosomal RNA (301 nucleotides) under uncultured bacterium. RNAcentral's name for it is "partial 16S ribosomal RNA". It matches the Rfam family "Bacterial small subunit ribosomal RNA", at positions 509 to 807 of the family's 1533-position model. The record is from RNAcentral.